Molecule: ribosomal RNA, 253 nt
Filed under: uncultured bacterium
Lineage: Bacteria
Description: partial 16S ribosomal RNA
Rfam family: Bacterial small subunit ribosomal RNA
Source: RNAcentral
UACGUAGGGGGCAAGCGUUGUCCGGAAUCAUUGGGCGUAAAGCGCGUGUAGGCGGUUCGAUAAGUCUGCUGUGAAAGUCGGGGGCUCAACCCUCGAAUGCCGGUGGAUACUGUCGGGCUAGAGUGCGGAAGAGGCGAGUGGAAUUCCUGGUGUAGCGGUGAAAUGCGCAGAUAUCAGGAGGAACACCAAUUGCGAAGGCAGCUCGCUGGGACGUAACUGACGCUGAGACGCGAAAGCGUGGGGAGCAAACAGG